UUCUUUAUUUCUUUUUGCAGUAUUAAACCUGAUCCAAGGGGGCCACAAAUCUGGCCAAGGUUGGUGCUGAAAUGGGCCGAAGUAAUAUGGCCAGUGCUUAUGGACUAAAGCCAUUUUGGGCAGCAAAUUAAUGAAACGUUGCGUUCAAGCAACUGUGUGUGUACUGAAGGAGUAUACCCGUGAAGAGGGUUUCAUUUCUCCAAAUUAGAAGCAAUUGAAGCUACGACUCACAAAGAAGAUUUUCCCCAAAUUCUAUAAACCCUCAAUCUAGGGUUCGUGGUCCAGCAAGAGGGGAUCAGUCCGAUGAAGCAAAUCCAAAGAACGACAACCCAAAAAGGGGAACAACCCAAGAUGUUGAUCGGUCAGAUUGGAGGUUGGAAGCACGUGUUAAGCUUGAACCGUUUGAGAACCUGGUUAGAGUCAGUUGAGGGAUAUUCAAGAAGCUUCCAAGUUUGUUUCAGAUUCUUUCCCCUUUCCCCCUUUCUCCUAUUUUCUUUUCUUUUUUGUUUUGUACUUGCCCUAUAUAAAGGGGAGUUUUGUAAUGAGAAUAGUACGUGCACUGGGUGACAGACGGUGUGCUUAGCUUAAGUUUUUCAUUCUCUCGCUUUAGAGUAGAUUUCUUUACAGCCUUCGUAGGGGUAGACACUUUGCUUCUUGCAUUGGGGUUCUUGGAUUUUCCAUUGGGUGACAGACAUUGGUUAUCUGAGAAACUCUGGUAUUUGUAAUUCUGAAUUUAGUUUCCAAUAAAGCAUUUUUUUUUCAGUUUCGAUUCGCUUUAUAUUUGAUCUUGUUUGGUUGAUUUCUGCACUUGUUUUAC
This 817-nucleotide long non-coding RNA is filed under the name Vigna radiata. RNAcentral's name for it is "long non-coding RNA (VRAD_LNC003402)". Lineage: Eukaryota; Viridiplantae; Streptophyta; Magnoliopsida; Fabales; Fabaceae. The record is from RNAcentral.